UACGGAGGGUGCAAGCGUUAUCCGGAUUCACUGGGUUUAAAGGGUGCGUAGGCGGGUAAGUAAGUCCGUGGCGAAAUCUCUGAGCUUAACUCAGAAACUGCCGUGGAUACUAUUUGCCGUGAAUAUUGUGGAGGUGAGCGGAAUAUGUCAUGUAGCGGUGAAAUGCUUAGAUAUGACAUAGAACACCAAUUGCGAAGGCAGCUCACUACACAAUCAUUGACGCUGAGGCACGAAAGCGUGGGGAUCAAACAGG
Molecule: ribosomal RNA, 253 nt
Filed under: uncultured bacterium
Lineage: Bacteria
Description: partial 16S ribosomal RNA
Rfam family: Bacterial small subunit ribosomal RNA
Source: RNAcentral